UUUAUAUUGAGGCCCAUAACCAGAAGUAUGAACAGGGGUUAAGCAGCUUUACGAUGGGCCUCAAUCAAUUUUCAGACCUGACUAAAAAGGAAUGGCCGUGUGCGUGAUGCACAAAGAAGAAGACAACACAACCAAAUUAGGAACUGGGAAGUGCUACUGCCUGCUCUAUACAUCAACAAAAAAUGUUGUACUUAAAAAAUUCAGUUUAACAAUGUGAACUUAAUUAGCCAACAUAACAUUGUUGCAUAAAACUAACAGAUUAAUAAAACCAAUACAGACUUGCAUCUCAUUGGCUGAGGAUUUUGCAGUGUAUUUUGGGUAAUUGUUGUCUGGCAUCCUCAAGGAGUGACAGAUCUAGAAAUAAAUGUGGUUGCCAGGAGGCGACCAAGACUACUUUACAGUAGUCCAUGAAAGAAAACGAUGUGCAAAAAGCAUCAAAAAAGCAUGAUGAAUCUCAUGACUGCUGAUUACCCCACAUUAAAUAAAUAUUUUUAACUUUU
Paramisgurnus dabryanus is the source of this 500-nucleotide non-coding RNA. The record is from RefSeq and is a predicted model, not a curated record. NCBI's taxonomy places the organism in Eukaryota, Metazoa, Chordata, Actinopteri, Cypriniformes, Cobitidae.